GGGGGCGAGCGGGCGCAGCUUCUAGGUGGUGGCACCUGGUUUCUCUGUAGUAGGGGUUUCCCGACCUUUGGGCUCUGUGUUGCCUCCACGCCUGGCAGGACCCGCACUCGAGGCCGCUGGUGAGCGGGUGAUGUCCCGUCCACACGGGCUCUGCCAUUGUACCCACAGACGCUGGCGCUGGGAUCUGCGCCUCGUGUUGGGGGUGGCCGCUCCUGCUGGGGCCCCCAGGCUCCGUGUCUCCUCUGCUCUGUGACGACACCUGUCUCGUGUGUGUGGUUUCUCCUGGAUGGCGUGGAGCUUCCUCGCCUCAUCCUCGUCCUGCUGUUUGGCGCUCUGGUCUUUGUUUUCUGUGCACCCGGUUGAUAGCACGGGUAGAGCCACGCACAGGCGGCAAGGAGUGUGUGGCCGUUGGGCUGUGUUGGGCCGUGUGGCACCGCGUGCUCUGUAUCUCAUGCGACUCUACGGAGGAGAGGACACUGGGCUUCCGCUGGCUGUCUCAGCACACGGGGCGUCUGCCCACAUCGCCGUGACCCUCUGCGACAUCCCGGGCCACAGCUUGUCACGGGGCGUGUCUGCGCGUCCAGGGCGGGCGCUCCAGCAUCCUGUGUCCACGUUGGCAGUGGCCAGGACAGGCUGGGCUGCCAGCGACCUGGACUGGGCUGCCGUGUGCAUGUGCUUCCUCGCCCACGUGUGGCGAUGCCGUGUUGUGGGCCGCUGUGCCUGCUGCACCCCCCGGGCCGCUGUUCCCCGUACCUGGUGCCGACGGCAGGGUUGUCAGGGCAGGCCACGGGUCGCACGUCUCCACUUGGGUCCUGCCCCUCCUGCCAGCACAUGAUGCCACGGGGUCUCGGGGUGGGCUUCUGGGACUGGAGGGCUCUGGAGCGGCAGCUGCUGGGGGUGAUGAGUAGAUCGUGGACGUGCAAGGAGCUGCUCAGCCCGGCUCUCAGGAAACCACAGUGACCUGGUGAGACCCCUUCCUCACCGGGUCUCAUGGCUUCUCGGCAGACCGUGGCCACGCUGAUGCGGUGCUGGCCUCAGCUUCCAGAUUCUGGGGUGGACGCGGGGGAGGGGGCCCACAGCAUCUGGUGCAGCCGCGGUGCUGGAGCCCCCACUGGGUGCCUGCGCGUCUGUUCAAACUUUUGAAUGUGGUUUCCACAAACAGGAGUGUGACACUGUCUCUGGUAGGGGCUGGAGAGGGCAGUGGUGUGCUCCUGGGCUUAGCCGGCUUAGGACCGGCUGGACCCCACGGGGCAUGUUGACGUGAAGACCUGACCCUGGCAGCCCUCCUCAGGCUGAGAGCACAGCCAGGGUCCCAGUGGUGACACGGGCGAGGCGGCCUGGGGAUCCGUUGGAUGGUGGGUCCCACCCCUCGGGGCAGGGCCUCCGGCAGGUCUUGCAUGAUAACAAGACCAGAGCUUGAAAAGCAUAGAAAAGCUGUCACCUGGCGGCGUCAGGAUUGACAGUUUCUUAAACAAGAAAUGAUACGUGUCAGGGUCCCAGGACCACUCCCAGGGUUGGAGGUUUGCCGGAGUCCUCCUGUGCCCCAGACUUGGCACAGGGCCGUCCUCGGGGUGGGGGUUUGCCUCAGAACACGGGGAAAAGGCGCUGGUGGAGUCUGAGGAACCUGGCACGACUUUCCGUCUUCCAUCUCCGUGGAGUCGUGUGGGACGCGUGUCACUCAGGGGAGCCCCCCAGAGACCCAGCACCGGGGGUUGGGGUCCGCAGGGCACGCAGCAGGCGCCAGACUCGUACCAGGUCUGGGAGGAGCGGGGAGCCUCCCGAAGUCGCUGGACCGCAGCCGCGGAGCCGCCUGGCCAGCAGGCCUCUGUGCGUUCGCAGUUAGGCCCACGUGACUGUCUCUUGUCGGGCUUCUUGCUUCCAACGUGAUUCAGCGAGAGUGUCCGAGACACGCAAGCAUGCAGGCCGGAGGGGAAACGUCCCCAGUACCGACAGGUUCUCGGCGAGCCUACCCAGAGCCCUCGGGGGUAUCGGACGGGGGACGGCAGGACACGUGGGUCCCAGCCCUGUUCUCCGCCGUGGCCAGCAGCCGUGACGUUCACGCUCGUAUGCCUGGCAGCCGUGCUGCCGAGGGGCCGCCCCAGGCCUGGGUGGGGGUGGCCUUGCUCACGGCUGACGGGCUCUCGGGGCGCCGAGCAGCCCUCCGUGAUGCCGGCAGAGACUCGGGGGUCCUGGGAGGCCCGUCGGCCCCUCACUGCCUCCUGGGUGUGGGAACACGCCUUCCGUGCGCUCGUCCCGGGGCCAGAACGCAGGCCUUUGGCGGCCGCCCCCACCCAAGCACACCCCGAGUCCCCGACUUCGCCUGUCAGGCUGUGGUGUUCACGUCAUUCCGCCCACGCCCCACGCAGGACAGAGCGGCCAGGGCCUGUGGACGGCACCUCUGGACGCCGCUGUUUCUGUGGCCUGUCUGUUCUAAACCUUUGCUCUUUUUUGGAGUUUUUGUUUACCGAUACUAUAUUUUGUUGUGUAUUCUGUGUGUUCAUUGCUUUUGUAAAAAAGUAAACAUGGGCAAACCCUU
Canis lupus familiaris (dog) is the source of this 2536-nucleotide long non-coding RNA. RefSeq lists it as uncharacterized. NCBI's taxonomy places the organism in Eukaryota, Metazoa, Chordata, Mammalia, Carnivora, Canidae. The transcript has 2 exons. The record is from RefSeq and is a predicted model, not a curated record.